This 496-nucleotide ribosomal RNA is filed under the name uncultured bacterium. RNAcentral describes it as "partial 16S ribosomal RNA". It matches the Rfam family "Bacterial small subunit ribosomal RNA", at positions 28 to 506 of the family's 1533-position model. The record is from RNAcentral.
GAUGAACGCUGGCGGCGUGCCUAAUACAUGCAAGUCGAGCGAACGGACGAGAAGCUUGCUUCUCUGAUGUUAGCGGCGGACGGGUGAGUAACACGUGGAUAACCUACCUAUAAGACUGGGAUAACUUCGGGAAACCGGAGCUAAUACCGGAUAAUAUUUUGAACCGCAUGGUUCAAAAGUGAAAGACGGUCUUGCUGUCACUUAUAGAUGGAUCCGCGCUGCAUUAGCUAGUUGGUAAGGUAACGGCUUACCAAGGCAACGAUGCAUAGCCGACCUGAGAGGGUGAUCGGCCACACUGGAACUGAGACACGGUCCAGACUCCUACGGGAGGCAGCAGUAGGGAAUCUUCCGCAAUGGGCGAAAGCCUGACGGAGCAACGCCGCGUGAGUGAUGAAGGUCUUCGGAUCGUAAAACUCUGUUAUUAGGAAAGAACAUAUGUGUAAGUAACUGUGCACAUCUUGACGGUACCGAAUCAGAAAGCCACGGCUAACUACGU